GGCAGACUAAUACCGCAUAGUCUUCGAUGACGGCAUCAGAUUUGAAGUAAAGAUUUAUCGGUAAUGGAUGGGGAUGCGUCUGAUUAGCUUGUUGGCGGGGUAACGGCCCACCAAGGCUACGAUCAGUAGGGGUUCUGAGAGGAAGGUCCCCCACAUUGGAACUGAGACACGGUCCAAACUCCUACGGGAGGCAGCAGUGAGGAAUAUUGGUCAAUGGACGGAAGUCUGAACCAGCCAAGUAGCGUGCAGGAUGACGGCCCUAUGGGUUGUAAACUGCUUUUGUAUGGGGAUAAAGUUAGGGACGUGUCCCUAUUUGCAGGUACCAUACGAAUAAGGACCGGCUAAUUCCGUGCCAGCAGCCGCGGUAAUACGGAAGGUCCAGGCGUUAUCCGGAUUUAUUGGGUUUAAAGGGAGCGUAGGCUGGAGAUUAAGUGUGUUGUGAAAUGUAGACGCUCAACGUCUGAAUUGCAGCGCAUACUGGUUUCCUUGAGUACGCACAACGUUGGCGGAAUUCGUCGUGUAGCGGUGAAAUGCUUAGAUAUGACGAAGAACUCCGAUUGCGAAGGCAGCUGACGGGAGCGCAACUGACGCUUAAGCUCGAAGGUGCGGGUAUCAAACAGGAUUAGAUACCCUGGUAGUCCGCACAGUAAACGAUGGAUGCCCGCUGUUGGUACCUGGUAUCAGCGGCUAAGCGAAAGCAU
RNAcentral lists this ribosomal RNA (701 nucleotides) under uncultured Prevotella sp. RNAcentral describes it as "bacterial SSU rRNA". It matches the Rfam family "Bacterial small subunit ribosomal RNA", at positions 157 to 860 of the family's 1533-position model. The record is from RNAcentral. Lineage: Bacteria; Pseudomonadati; Bacteroidota; Bacteroidia; Bacteroidales; Prevotellaceae.